Paramacrobiotus metropolitanus is the source of this 2357-nucleotide long non-coding RNA. RefSeq lists it as uncharacterized. The record is from RefSeq and is a predicted model, not a curated record. NCBI's taxonomy places the organism in Eukaryota, Metazoa, Tardigrada, Eutardigrada, Parachela, Macrobiotidae. The transcript has 9 exons.
CGCACUUGACAGUACUUACUUGUCAUUUACCAGAGCUGAUCUGACCUUUAUUUAACCUUUUUCAUAUUGUACGGUUCUCCGUGCACGCCAGGACUUGGCGGAAAUGAUUAUCCGCGCGACAUUAGUGAGAAUUAUUGAUCUAUUAUUCAGCGCUCAAAAUGCCCCCUGCUAUUAUCUGCUGAUUAUGCGUGUUGAUUGUACGAAUGCUUCUGUGCCAGUGCUCUAUUGGGAGAGGCACCUGAUCGCGUGUCUCACGUUGAAAAUCGUUAUCUCCCCGCUGAAUUGCGCUCUAUCGACAAAAAUAUCAGACAGAAGGCACCCCCUAAUAAAUCAUUUCGGGAAAACCAACAACUGGGUCAGCUCCAAAAGUAGCACCACCGAUCCCUUCCCAUUAGGCCAUCUCCACGAAGCCGAAUAAAACCCCCCGAGAACCGAUCAAACACCAGAUCAAAGCGCAGUUGAGCACUGGUUCAAUCAACCAACCUCAACUAACCAAUCCCGUAAAAACCACCAGCACCGCCUCCAGCUCGUUUCCCUCCCCGGGAGACCAGCGAAGUCGGUUAAGAGCGGUACGGCGCCGCGGCGACGACAGGCCCCGACCAGGACUCUUGGUCCCUUCGAGCUCCAACCACCGUUCGGCAGGUGUGCGACCGGAAGUCUCCGAAAAGCGGAAAAAACAGUGUGCACGAGCAGAAAUAAGCUCAUCUUUAAAAGAUGACGAAAAGCGGAAGAAAUCCUCAAUUAAGGAUGAUGAAAAGAGGAAAAAAUCCUUAAUUAAGAAUGGGGAAAAAAGUCCCGUCGCAAGACAUCAACCGCGGAGCGGAAAGCUCUUACAAAUCCAGGUCUGACUCGAAAAGUUCAAUAAGCAGCAAGAACGGCCGUCUUCGCGAGACCAGCCUGCCUCCGUACGAUCCUAAACGGCCGUCGCGUAAAACACUGUCGGGUGCCACUAGACGAGGAACAGACGAUUCACUACAGGUUCCAAACAGUGGCUCCGAACUGGCGGUUGCCCAGAACCCUCGCUUAUCGAUUGUCUACUCUGUACCGGUUGACCUCGGCGCCGUCGUGUCUCAACGCAAACUCCAGGAAGCCGAAUGUCUCGUGCAUCAGGUGAGCACACCAGUCCUUCUCCAACUAAAAUGCCUCCUCGUCGGUGAAGCCGACGGGUGCAGCGUUACCUCGCGCUCCUCGAAAAAACGAGACCACAAUCUGCGAACUGGACACCAAACUUCAAGAUAAGACCACACUGGAAGACGAUAAAUGCUGGUUAUCCGAGCAGCUGACCAUGAAGGACUGGCAGAAGCUGAUGCUGGAAUAUGCCGGGUUCGAGCAGCAGAUCAUCGCUGCGCGCAACCGCCGCGGGAUCUGCAGAACCAGAAUAGAAAUCAUGAGUUGUUGAAGUUUCAGGAAGGCCAGUUGCGCGAGUUGAAACUGCUGCGGAAGGAGCAUGGAGAUAAGAUGUCGAAUCGCGCGGCGGGGAUUGCGCUGCUGAGGUAGAAGGUCAGCAGCGAGCAGCUGGGUCCGGAGUAUUCGCUAGACAGAGUGGAUGAAUAAAUUACAGGUAGCCAGCAAUUUGAGCGCGAUUUAGAGAAGACGCUAAGGGAGGUGCAGGCGCUCGUAAUGCAGGUGGAAUCGACCGAUGAGAUUCGGCAGCAUGCGCUGGAGGUGGUACUGCAGAAAGCGCAGAAGCCAGGGCACCAUGGUGUGGAUGAGAACAUCCGGGUGGAGAUUAAGGAAAAAGCACUGGCACAGCUGCUGGGCGAGAAGAAGGAAGUGCGCUCGGUGGAAGACAAAACGGAGGUGAACAAGGCCGACGCGCUGCCAAAGAUACCUUCCGAGUACUGGAGUCCAGAUGUUUAGUUGGGAUUCAAUGCCAAAUAGAGGACAUCGUUUAUUGCAUGGCAACGAGAAGCCUAGCAUCACCAAGCCCAGUCUGAUACGUACGACAUGUACAACCAGUGCUUCGGGCGUUUCUCAGUGAGCAGCACCGGCACAAUCCACCGCGUUAAACCGUAAAAACGCCUGAACUCCGCCCACGAUGGACCGCGACACCCUGCGCCGGAUCACUCGUACUAUAAACAUCUCGCGGGUCGAAAACCAUAGUCGUCUGCAAGAGCUCUGUUCGCUGGAGAUUACGCACAACGCGCUGACGACGGUGGAGGAUUUCGCUCCAUUGAGUUUACUUUGCUCUCGCUCUUUGUCUAUUAACCGAACUAUAAACAGUCUGACAGAAAAAUUAUGCAUGCAGAUGACAAUCUACAGAUACGGAAUAAUAUAAGUUUUUUGGCGAGAACGGUUUGUUCACCCAGCGAAAAGUAAUUUAUAGCAAGGCACCACAGCCACACUCACUGGCUGUA